This is a long non-coding RNA of Oryza brachyantha (malo sina), 1467 nucleotides long. RefSeq lists it as uncharacterized. The record is from RefSeq and is a predicted model, not a curated record. The transcript has 4 exons. Lineage: Eukaryota; Viridiplantae; Streptophyta; Magnoliopsida; Poales; Poaceae.
AGGGUUCUCCAACUUUCUGCAGGGAAACCCAUUUGGUAACCAUCGUAAUGCAAAUGAAGAUUUUCAUUUUGUUGGGGCCAGAAUGAGUCAAUCUUCAGUUUCACCAAUUGACAUGGGUGUUACAAGGACUCCCUCUCCAGCAGAACAAACUGAUGAUAUGGUGGAAGAUUUAGAUGCAGAAGAAGAUGAUAUCAUUAAGGAGUCUAGAAACGACAAGCGUCUAAAUUGGUCGGUACCUGAAGACAUACGAUUGACCAGUGCUUGGUUGCAUAAUUCAAAGGACCCAGUUGAUGGAAAUGGUAGGAAGGCAGAUUCUUAUUGGGCAGAUGUUACUGAAGAAUACAACAAGACAACAGAAACUAGCCGUCAGAGGAACCGGAACCAAGUGAAAAUACGUUGGGAUCGUUGUAAGAAUGCCAUUGUUUGAUUUUCAUGGAUGUUGGGUAAAUGCCAGUAGAGUGUGACAAAGUGGGAUGAGUGAUGACCAGUUGAUAGACAAAGCUUUAGAGAUGUGGUCCAGUAAAAAUAAUGAUAAGGCCUUCCAUCUGUUGCAUAUGUGGAAGGUAGUACGUGGUGAGCAGAAGUGGUCAGCAUAUCUUGCUAGGUUAAAGAAGGGCAAUGAAAAGAAUGCAAAGGCUAAUCCUCAUCUGGUGAAUUUAGAAUUAGAUGGAGAAAAGAGACCUAUGGGACAUAAGAGAGCAAAAAGGGAGCUUAAUGGCAAAAAGAAGUCAUCUGAUGGUUUUGCUGUUUUUAGUGAAAAAUUUGACAAGUUCAUUAAAGUAACCACAAAGAAUAGGGAAGACAGAGAGAAGACGACAGAAGUUCAGCAAAGCUUGGCUGAUAAGAAGAUUGAAGCGGCUAGGAUUAAUCAUGAAGCAGCCCGUGAACAAACUAAAGCAGCCCAUGAACAAACUAAGUGCAAAAUGCUCGAGACUUUCACACAACUGAUGCUUGCCCCUACUGAUCAGCUCAGUGCAGAUGCUUUGGCAGAGAGAAACUUGGCGCUAGAGAGCCUGAGACUUGCUUUAUUUCCUAAGUAACAAGUGUGUGCAAAUAAAUGUGACCAUGGAAGCAAUUUCUGUAAGAUCUGCUUGGACGACGAUGGACAUGGAGUUCUGUGAAUGAUGACGAUGGAUGGCUUCUUAUCUAAAAAUUAGUAUUAUCUAUUCAGUUUACAAUUCGUAUCUAUGUUUCUAUUACUAUAUAGUUUGCCGGUUCAUAACAUUACUGUAUGCUUCUAGUCUAUUGCCGUAUGUACCGGUAAAAUUCUUGAAUUGUGAUGUUUCUCUUGCUGGGUGAAUGUGAUGUUUCUCUUCUGAUUGCUUCUGGUGAAUGAGAUUGCUUCCGGGUGAAUGUGAUGUUUCUCUUGCCGGCUGAAUGGUGAUUUUUUUCUGGUUCAGUUGCUAGCUGAAUGGUUCUAUGUGUUCUGUUUAAGUUAUGUUGUUGGUGAUAAAAUUGAGAGGUGUA